This 253-nucleotide ribosomal RNA is filed under the name uncultured bacterium. RNAcentral's name for it is "partial 16S ribosomal RNA". It matches the Rfam family "Bacterial small subunit ribosomal RNA", at positions 524 to 776 of the family's 1533-position model. The record is from RNAcentral.
GACGUAGGGGGCGAGCGUUGUCCGGAUUUAUUGGGCGUAAAGCGCACGUAGGCGGCUUUGUAAGUUAGAGGUGAAAGCCCGGGGCUCAGCUCCGGAAUUGCCUUUAAGACUGCAUCGCUAGAAUUGUGGAGAGGUGAGUGGAAUUCCGAGUGUAGAGGUGAAAUUCGUAGAUAUUCGCAAGAACACCAGUGGCGAAGGCGGCUCACUGGCCCGAUACUGACGCUGAGGCACGAAAGCGUGGGGAGCAAACAGG